CGGAACCAGAGACCGGCGCACGGGUGCGUAACGCGUAUGCAAUCUACCUUUUACAAAGGGAUAGCCCAGAGAAAUUUGGAUUAAUACCUUAUAGUAUUAUUGAGUGGCAUCAUUUAAUAAUUAAAGAUUUAUCGGUAAAAGAUGAGCAUGCGUCCCAUUAGCUAGUUGGUAUGGUAACGGCAUACCAAGGCAACGAUGGGUAGGGGUCCUGAGAGGGAGAUCCCCCACACUGGUACUGAGACACGGACCAGACUCCUACGGGAGGCAGCAGUGAGGAAUAUUGGACAAUGGGCGCAAGCCUGAUCCAGCCAUGCCGCGUGCAGGAUGACGGUCCUAUGGAUUGUAAACUGCUUUUAUACGGGAAGAAACCCUGGCUCGUGAGCCAGAUUGACGGUACCGUAGGAAUAAGGAUCGGCUAACUCCGUGCCAGCAGCCGCGGUAAUACGGAGGAUCCAAGCGUUAUCCGGAAUCAUUGGGUUUAAAGGGUCCGUAGGCGGCCUCGUAAGUCAGUGGUGAAAUCUCCCGGCUCAACCGGGAAAUUGCCAUUGAUACUGCAGGGCUUGAAUUAUUAGGAAGUAACUAGAAUAUGUAGUGUAGCGGUGAAAUGCUUAGAUAUUACAUGGAAUACCGAUUGCGAAGGCAGGUUACUACUAAUAUAUUGACGCUGAUGGACGAAAGCGUGGGUAGCGAACAGGAUUAGAUACCCUGGUA
Molecule: ribosomal RNA, 711 nt
Filed under: Flavobacterium sp.
Lineage: Bacteria; Pseudomonadati; Bacteroidota; Flavobacteriia; Flavobacteriales; Flavobacteriaceae
Description: bacterial SSU rRNA
Rfam family: Bacterial small subunit ribosomal RNA
Source: RNAcentral